This 496-nucleotide ribosomal RNA is filed under the name uncultured bacterium. Its description in RNAcentral is "partial 16S ribosomal RNA". It matches the Rfam family "Bacterial small subunit ribosomal RNA", at positions 28 to 506 of the family's 1533-position model. The record is from RNAcentral.
GAUGAACGCUGGCGGCGUGCCUAAUACAUGCAAGUCGAGCGAACGGACGAGAAGCUUGCUUCUCUGAUGUUAGCGGCGGACGGGUGAGUAACACGUGGAUAACCUACCUAUAAGACUGGGAUAACUUCGGGAAACCGGAGCUAAUACCGGAUAAUAUUUUGAACCGCAUGGUUCAAAAGUGAAAGACGGUCUUGCUGUCACUUAUAGAUGGAUCCGCGCUGCAUUAGCUAGUUGGUAAGGUAACGGCUUACCAAGGCAACGAUGCAUAGCCGACCUGAGAGGGUGAUCGGCCACACUGGAACUGAGACACGGUCCAGACUCCUACGGGAGGCAGCAGUAGGGAAUCUUCCGCAGUGGGCGAAAGCCUGACGGAGCAACGCCGCGUGAGUGAUGAAGGUCUUCGGAUCGUAAAACGCUGUUAUUAGGGAAGAACAUAUGUGUAAGUAACUGUGCACAUCUUGACGGUACCUAAUCAGAAAGCCACGGCUAACUACGU